ACAUACUGCAGUGGCAUUUCCAGGUCCUUCUACAGAUAUGUGGAUGUGUCUACAUUUGCUCUGUGAAUUUUGGCAUCACAGUUCAUACAGAUUCUAAACUUGAAGGCAGAAACUUUGUCUACUGCAUGGGGCCCUGUUUAAGCAGACAUCAGAUACUCAUCACUGGGAAUCGGAGUCAGUGUCUACACAGUCCUCUGAAGCAAACUGGCCCCAAGAGGCAAAUCCAAAACAGGUGAUGACUGAGGACAUGCAAUAUCUAAGAGAGCAGUUGGUAUCAAAGGUCCCUCCCUAACAGGGCUAGGAAGGGGGGAAGGCAGAAGCAGCUGAUUAAAAAGUGCUACAAUCUGAGGGCAAUCCCCAACAGAGCUCUUAGAUCCAGGACCACCCCUGAGCACACGUCAGUAUCUGGGGUCCAAGGCCAGACCCAGGCCCAGGUCAAGCCAGAGUGACUUGGCAACAACGGCAACACCAGGCGAUGCCCAGAGGGCUGAGAUGUGGCUCGCUGAUGCCUCCAUCUAGAGCCAGGGCUGGUCCAGACUGUGGUAGGCCUGGGCGUGCAGUGAGGAAGAGACAGACAGGUGAGGGAGAGCAGAUGGAGUAGGCCUGAGGAGGGUUUGACUGCACGGGCUCAACAAAUGAGGAAGUCACCCCAGUUGGAUUUGGAAUCUCAGCAGACAUUUGGAGCUCUAGCCCUGCCACUUACCAGCCAUGUAUGACUAACUUACCCACCUUUAGAGCUGACUUAACUAUUGGUUGCUUCAGCCAUAAACUCACAAAAUUAUCCUGUCCCUCCGACCACACAGAGUUACUGGGUGUGGCUGAUAAGCUGACCUUUUGGGAAAUGCUUGGUCACAUCCCAUUCUGAUGUCGCAGUGCUUUGCUGAUUCACGGUGCUGUGCGGUCAUCAUCUCACAAUGACGCUCCAGAUCUCUUUCUUGGGAUAAAUUAUCUGGGGUCUUACACUAGAUGAUAAAGUGGGCUGAGGCUUCCCACCAAAGCCAAGCCUUCUGAUCUGCCAUCUCCAAAUUCACACGCAGAGCUUCAGGCUGUGGACUGAGAAAGACAAUGAGAAGCAAAUCCUCUCCUCUUUCUCCAACCCACCAGUGCGAGAACUUUCCAUCUAUGGUUGGAGGGCUGGAAUGGGGUCACUUGCCUGUGGAGGCCAGUUAGUUAAAGGACACACACUCCCCAGUCCAGCCUUUAGUCUUGUCCAGCAGGUGUCUGAGUAGUUCCUGUAUCUGUCUGAUUCCUGCAGAAUUCCAUCUGACCUCUGAUUACACCUCCCUGAACUCUACUGCAACAAGCCUGAGUCCCUAGGUCCUGCCUCACUCCUUGCAUUCAACGCAGAACUGAGGCAGCACAGCACAGGUUAAAGGCAUUAGCAGUUCGCAAUGACUGAAUUGUAAUGAGGACGAGAUGCUAAAUUAAAGUUUAUUGCAGAAUAAAAGUGUAUGUAGUCAGCAGUUGUUUAAGAGGCUACAAUGAGAUGCCUUCUAGAACUUGGCAAUACAAUUAUGUAGAGUUAAGUGAGUAAAAUGCACACACAGAUGAGAUUAGCUGUCGGCAAAAGUCAUUUUGAGACAAGUCAUCUUUUGUGAAGGCAGAAAGAGCUAGAAUGCUCGUCAAGAUGUGAUUAAACAUGGAAGAAACAAUAGCCUCAUCAAAGCAUGGAGAUAUUUGCAGUGUGAAUUAAAGAACUGAGCUUCUGGAUUUGCCACUCUGAGGUCUGGACCCUGAGCCUGGGUGACAAAGUGCACCGCCUGGGACCUGUGGGUAGAAGUGUCUCACACGGCACAUAUAAACCACAUGCAAGCCUGUAGCUGUGUGUGAAAUAAAGACCAUGGGGGAAUGUAAGUUUUAUUUGCAUAAACCUCAUGUGGCUGAUAAAAAAGUUCCUAUUACAAAGUGUUCUGGGAGUCGUGGUGAGCAGUUGACCAUGAGUGCCUAUUAUGGAUAAUAACACUUACCUGCACUUCAUAGUUUUUAUAAAGUCUAAGUGUGAUAAUGAUGUAAACUGCUUACUUCUUAGCACAAACUAAGCACUCAGUAUACAAGUUUCAUGUUUUAUAAAUGCGGGUUGUUUUCUUUA
Long non-coding RNA from Felis catus (domestic cat), 2089 nucleotides. RefSeq lists it as uncharacterized. The transcript has 3 exons. Lineage: Eukaryota; Metazoa; Chordata; Mammalia; Carnivora; Felidae. The record is from RefSeq and is a predicted model, not a curated record.